AUACGUAGGUGGCAAGCGUUGUCCGGAAUUAUUGGGCGUAAAGCGCGCGCAGGUGGUUCCUUAAGUCUGAUGUGAAAGCCCCCGGCUCAACCGGGGAGGGUCAUUGGAAACUGGGGAACUUGAGUGCAGAAGAGGAUAGUGGAAUUCCAAGUGUAGCGGUGAAAUGCGUAGAGAUUUGGAGGAACACCAGUGGCGAAGGCGACUGUCUGGUCUGUAACUGACACUGAGGCGCGAAAGCGUGGGGAGCAAACAGAAUUAGAUACCCUGGUAGUCCACGCCGUAAACGAUGAGUGCUAAGUGUUGGGGGGUUUCCGCCCCUCAGUGCUGCAGCUAACGCAUUAAGCACUCCGCCUGGGGAGUACGGUCGCAAGACUGAAACUCAAAGGAAUUGACGGGG
This 397-nucleotide ribosomal RNA is filed under the name uncultured bacterium. RNAcentral's name for it is "partial 16S ribosomal RNA". It matches the Rfam family "Bacterial small subunit ribosomal RNA", at positions 523 to 918 of the family's 1533-position model. The record is from RNAcentral.